GCGAGUGAAGCGGGAUGAGCUCAAAUUUAAAAUCUGGCGGUCUCAGAUCGUCCGAGUUGUAGUCUAGAGAAGCGUUUUCCGUGCUGGCCUGUGUACAAGUCCGUUGGAACACGGCGUCAUAGAGGGUGAGAAUCCCGUCCUUGACACAGAUCUCCAGUGCUUUGUGAUGCGCUCUCAAAGAGUCGAGUUGUUUGGGAAUGCAGCUCAAAAUGGGUGGUAAAUUCCAUCUAAAGCUAAAUAUUGGCGAGAAACCGAUAGCGAACAAGUACCGUGAGGGAAAGAUGAAAAGCACUUUGGAAAGAGAGUUAAACAGUACGUGAAAUUGUUGAAAGGGAAACGAUUGAAGUCAGUCAUGCUUUCCGAGACUCAGCCGGUUCUGCCGGUGUACUUCUCGGUUUGCAGGCCAGCAUCAGUUUUGGGCGGUGGAAAAGGUUGGCGGGAAUGUGGCAUCCUCGGAUGUGUUAUAGCCCGCUUUCGAAUACAUCGCCCGGGACUGAGGAACGCAGCACGCCUCUUGUAGGUCGGUCUUCGGACACGUCCGUGCUUAGGAUGCUGGCAUAAUGGCUUUAAACGACCCGUCUUGA
RNAcentral lists this ribosomal RNA (584 nucleotides) under Tausonia pullulans. RNAcentral describes it as "partial large subunit ribosomal RNA". It matches the Rfam family "Eukaryotic large subunit ribosomal RNA", at positions 89 to 657 of the family's 3401-position model. The record is from RNAcentral. Lineage: Eukaryota; Fungi; Basidiomycota; Tremellomycetes; Cystofilobasidiales; Mrakiaceae.